RNAcentral lists this long non-coding RNA (1513 nucleotides) under Homo sapiens (human). RNAcentral describes it as "HSALNT0000878". The record is from RNAcentral. Lineage: Eukaryota; Metazoa; Chordata; Mammalia; Primates; Hominidae.
UCCACUUUCAUGUGCUGUUUGUUGUUAUCAGGGAAAAUGCAAACUGCUGGGUUAGCAGAAAGCCUGACCUGUUCUCCUGAAAUCUGCUUCUCACACCGGCCUCAGCUGUUGUCUCUUCCGGCCUGAAGCUGGAGGUGGAGGCCCAGAGUCCUUCCCUCCUCACCUCACCUUCACAGUUCCUCACUGUAGCAGCUGAUGGUGCUUAAGGACCAUCAGAGGCAUCAACAAUCAACCAAACCUCCACCGUCUGCCUUCCUUAGCCCAGACUGUGGACACACAGUGUGUUCAGUUAUUUUUAUUUGCAUGUAUGUUUUUAAAACCCUAUAGCAAAUUGGAAGAAAAGCUAUGCAAACCCCUCCUGGCCUUUCCUGUUGUGAAGGAUUUUUUUCAGGGGCUUCGAUCUGACCCUGGAGACCAGAGUGGUAGGUAUAAUUGGAUGGACGUUUGGAUUGGCCUCAGACAGUUCCUUCCCCACUCAUCAUUCUUUCGCUAAUUCAUUCAACAAACAGCCCAGGGUCAGGCCCCGCGCUAGGAUUCAGGACAGAGAUGUGAACAGAACCCAGUCCCUGACCCCAAAGCCUCACUGUCAAGUGGGCAAGAGCAGCUGAGACCAGGGUGUGCAGAGCCUGACACUGUGGGGUGGGGCAAGUCCGGGCUGACAGUGGGGUUGGAGGGAAGGAGGGAGCUCUGUCUCCUCACUCCAGGGCUGCUGGCCCUCCUUGGAGACAGCUGGUCAGGAGAACAGUCUUGCUGUCAGCAAACUUCUAUUUCCCUUUGUGGAUUUCACCUACGAAAUUGUUCUGAGAACCUCCUCCUCACCCUGUUUGGGAGGGAGGGACUCCCACCCGAGGGUCACAGGGAUGACCAAACACGCAACACCCUACUGUGGACAGAUGAGACCGACAGGGCUUCUGAGUCAUAUGUACUCAGCCCAGGGCGGGGGCAGGCACUGCAGGCCAAGCAGGGCCAUGGGGGCCCACACUGCGGCACAGAUGGCACCGGCCAGGACUGUGGGAGGCAGCCUCUGUGGUGCUUGACAAGAGGGUGGGAUGACCCUGGUGAGUCACUACAGGGAACCUGCUGAGAGGGGUGCAUGGUGUGUUGUGGGGUUGGAAACUUCCACUCAACCCUCUGCCAGGGUGCCCAGGCCCCCCAGAGCCCUUCCUGAGUUUGUCUGUCUGCUGCCUGGUGUGGCCACAGAGCUCUGGGCCACAAACAGGCUCCCGCUCUGCAUGUGACCUUCAGGAGAAGGGCCGGAGGAAAGACGACCUCUGAGAUCCUUUCUUGAGCAAACCUGCGUGUGUGCACGAGUGUGGGUGGCGUUUGCUCCAGGCCAGAGGUUAUCAGUGUUUCCAAGGAGCUCCUCCUCUCUGAAGCUGGCUCUGAGUCCCGCAGCACUCUGAUGAUGCCAACAUGGGUGGCAAUUCCCGAUACCCAGGAAAUGUGUGUUAACACAGACCAUGGGCCCCUCUCCAAGGAGGAGCAAACUGAUGGUCACCAUCAUCCCUGCAGA